CUUCUUCUUCUCCUCCUCCUCCUCUUCCUCGCGGGCCCGCGCCCCUGCCCGCCGGGGUCCCCCUUGCCGCCGCUGGGGCCGCGGCCCGCGCCGCCGAGCCGAGCUGCGCUGCCGCCGCGCUGCCGGGGCGGCCGCUGCCCGCGGGCCCGGCUGCCUGGGCGGCGGAACGUGCCGGUAGCGAGGGACGGAGCCGCGCGGGGGAGGGGAGGGGGGAAAAGAGGGGCAGCCUCGAUCUGGGCCGGCCGGCCGCGCCCGCUGAUUGGCCGCGGCGCCCGAGGCCGGCGGCGAAUAGGAAGCAGGGAGGCAGAGGGAGGGAGCAGCGCGGCGGCGUGACGCGAGCGCUGACGGCCGCCGCGCGGGGGCGGGGCGCCGGCCUUUCGAGGAGGUUCGGCCGCUUCCCUCAGGCGCGGCGGCGGCGGCCAUUUUGGGUGGCGGGUGCGGACCGGGUCGGGAGGGGCGGCAGCCGCGGCGGGGCCGUACCGUGCCUGACCGCCCUCCUUCCCUCCUUCCGCCGCCGCGCUCACCCAGCUGAAAUUCAGCAACGGGAUCAUCCUUCGUCCCGCUCGACUUCGUAUUCGCCGACCCCCAGGCUUUGGCGCCAAGGCGGCUGCUUUUGGAAAGAGGAAGAAGUAGUGCGCAGGAAACGGCUGCAGGCACCUUGGCAGCCUCCUGAGAGACCCGGCCUCUCAUUGCCGACACUCUUUCCUUGGGGCUGGAAGCAGGUGCCAAUGUGAGAGCUCUACAUGGUGUGGGAAGCUCCCUUUCACAGGAGAUACGCAGAAG
This 783-nucleotide long non-coding RNA is filed under the name Apteryx rowi (Okarito brown kiwi). Its description in RNAcentral is "lncRNA (ENSARWG00000015461.1)". The record is from RNAcentral. Lineage: Eukaryota; Metazoa; Chordata; Aves; Apterygiformes; Apterygidae.